GCGGCCCAGGGCGGCCCCAGCGGAGAGCGCGCCUCGCGCUGAAGCCCCGGCGGCCGGCGGCUACGCAAUCGGAGGGAAACCGAGAGCAGCCGAGCGGACAAAACCGGUAUGUGGCAAUAGAAACAGCACAAGGCGGCCCAGACCUGGGGAGCAGGUGACCGGCAAGGGGCACCGAGGAACCCUGGGGGAUGAGCUGCGUCCAGUUGGUGGGGGAAGGCAACAUAGACGUGAAGAAAAAAAAGGCUUUCCAAAGGACAGCGCUGUGGUCUCGUGGGCAUCGGGCUGAUACUGGCUG
This is a long non-coding RNA of Manis javanica (Malayan pangolin), 295 nucleotides long. RefSeq lists it as uncharacterized. The record is from RefSeq and is a predicted model, not a curated record. NCBI's taxonomy places the organism in Eukaryota, Metazoa, Chordata, Mammalia, Pholidota, Manidae.